AGCGAGAAAAGACUUCGGUCUAAGUAAAGCGGCGCACGGGUGAGUAACACGUGGGUAACGUACCCUCGGGUGGGGGAUAACAGACCGAAAGGUUUGCUAAUACCGCAUCAGACCACAGUCCUCGCGGGGACAGGGGUCAAAGGGGGCUGUCGCAAGGCAGCUCUCGCCUGAGGAUCGGCCCGCGGACCAUUAGCUAGUUGGUAGGGUAACGGCCUACCAAGGCUACGAUGGUUAGCUGGUCUGAGAGGACGAUCAGCCACACUGGGACUGGAACACGGCCCAGACUCC
This 288-nucleotide ribosomal RNA is filed under the name uncultured bacterium. RNAcentral describes it as "partial 16S ribosomal RNA". It matches the Rfam family "Bacterial small subunit ribosomal RNA", at positions 65 to 339 of the family's 1533-position model. The record is from RNAcentral.